CGGCGAGUGAAGCGGCAAAAGCUCAAAUUUGAAAUCUGGCACCUUCGGUGUCCGAGUUGUAAUUUGAAGAAGGUAACUUUGGAGUUGGCUCUUGUCUAUGUUCCUUGGAACAGGACGUCACAGAGGGUGAGAAUCCCGUGCGAUGAGAUGCCCAAUUCUAUGUAAAGUGCUUUCGAAGAGUCGAGUUGUUUGGGAAUGCAGCUCUAAGUGGGUGGUAAAUUCCAUCUAAAGCUAAAUAUUGGCGAGAGACCGAUAGCGAACAAGUACAGUGAUGGAAAGAUGAAAAGAACUUUGAAAAGAGAGUGAAAAAGUACGUGAAAUUGUUGAAAGGGAAGGGCUUGAGAUCAGACUUGGUAUUUUGCGAUCCUUUCCUUCUUGGUUGGGUUCCUCGCAGCUUACUGGGCCAGCAUCGGUUUGGAUGGUAGGAUAAUGACUAAGGAAUGUGGCUCUACUUCGGUGGAGUGUUAUAGCCUUGGUUGAUACUGCCUGUCUAGACCGAGGACUGCGUCUUUUGACUAGGAUGUUGGCAUAAUGAUCUUAAGCCACCCGUCUUGAA
RNAcentral lists this ribosomal RNA (556 nucleotides) under Debaryomyces hansenii. RNAcentral describes it as "eukaryotic LSU rRNA". It matches the Rfam family "Eukaryotic large subunit ribosomal RNA", at positions 87 to 658 of the family's 3401-position model. The record is from RNAcentral. Lineage: Eukaryota; Fungi; Ascomycota; Pichiomycetes; Serinales; Debaryomycetaceae.